Molecule: ribosomal RNA, 301 nt
Filed under: uncultured bacterium
Lineage: Bacteria
Description: partial 16S ribosomal RNA
Rfam family: Bacterial small subunit ribosomal RNA
Source: RNAcentral
CAGUAGCCGCGGUAAUACGAAGGGUACAAGCGUUAAUCGGAAUUACUGGGCGUAAAGCGUGCGUAGGCGGUGAGUUAAGUCUGCUGUGAAAUCCCCGGGCUCAACCUGGGAAUGGCAGUGGAUACUGGCUCGCUAGAGUGUGUCAGAGGAUGGUGGAAUUCCCGGUGUAGCGGUGAAAUGCGUAGAGAUCGGGAGGAACAUCAGUGGCGAAGGCGGCCAUCUGGGACAACACUGACGCUGAGGCACGAAAGCGUGUGGAGCAAACAGGAUUAGAUACCCCGGUAGUCCCUGUCUCUUAUAC